ACACAUCAUCAUCACCCAAAUCCACAGUUUACAUUAGGGUUCACUCUUGGUGUUGUACAUUCUAUGGGUUUGGACAAAUGUAUAAUGACAUGUAUCCAUCAUUAUAGUAUCAUAUAGAGUAGUUCUGUCACUCUAAAAAUCCUCUAUGUUUCAAGGAUAGGGAGGGAUAGGUAUUCUGGGGGUUCUACUUUGACCCUUUUAAAUGGGGAUAAAGAGACAGAUGGAAACACACUUAGUCCUAAUAUACCAUAUCUUAUUCCCAGUGUGGCAGGUAGACUCUAAAGUGUACCCUAAGGAUUGCCUCUGGAGGCUGUGGACAGCAUCUACAAUCAAUGGUUGGCCUCCAGCUGAUAGCCAGCAAAAAGCUAGGACCCUCAGUCAUACGACCACCAGGAUAUAAAUUCUGCCAGCAAUCUAUAUAAGCCUGGAAGCAGAUUCUUCCCCAAUUAAACCUCUAGAUGAGAAUGCAGCCAAGACAACAGCUUGACCACAGCCUUGUAAGACCCUGAGCAAAGGACCCAGUAAGUAAUGCUGUAUCUGAACUCCUGAGCCACAGCUAAGUUUAUGGUAAUUUGUUACACAGCAACAGAAAAUGAAUAUAUCCAGUGUGAAGUAUUCAUCUGGAUCCAUUGAAGGGGAUAAACAUACCUAGAGAAGCCAAGCCUUAUGAUCACCCACAGUCUCUCUUGACUCUAUACAAUGGGGAGUCAGUCUCAAUAGGGUCGGGGGUUCAUGAGUUAAUUAGACUUUGGCUAGAGCAAAUGGCACAUUAGAAGAUAAGAGUAAAAAGACAGUCUGGAGAAAAUAAACUGGUACUCUGUACUUUCUGCUCAAUUGUUCUGAAAGCCUAAAAAAAUGGUCUACGAAAAAAAUUAAAAUAAAAACAAAAAGUCUGAAGUCAAACCGUGGAUGGUCUCACAUGCCAAACUACUGAGUAGGUAAUGCAUAAUCAUUUCUAAGGAAGGUAGAUGACCUAAUCUGACCUCUGCUUUAGGAAAAUAAGUCCAGUCACAGUAUAAAAAGCGAUUUGAAGAGGAAGGCUGGAAGUAGAUAACUAGAUAGGUCAUUCUAUUAUUUCACAUGAGUGCCUGACUUAGGACAGGUAAGAAAGAAUGAAAAGAACAGACAGGUAAUAUCUCCAGCAGGUAUAAGUGACAGGAUGUGGCAACUGAUUAGAUGUAGGAAAAGAAGCUGUUAGCGCCAAAGACAAAUCGGGUAUUUCUAGCCAACGAUACUAGGAUGUAAGUCAACAGUAUCAUUAAAUGAGACUGGAAACAAAGAGGUUCCAGAAGGGACAGAUAAUGAGCUCCAAGAAUACAAAACAGUGAGAAGCAGAAGGCAAAGAGAAAGAAAAAAGAAGUGCACAGCGAGAGAAAAUAAAGACAGGUGUUAAACUAUACAGAAUGCUUUGGCAGUAUUAAAGAUGAGUAAACUACUAUGUACAAUUAUAUCCAGUCAGCCCCUGCAGCUAGAUGCUUUAGUCCUAAUUUUCAAGAGAUACUAAUACUAAAUUAUUUAACUCAGCUAGGCAUGGUGGUUCAUGCCUGUAAUCCAUUUUGGGAGGACAACACAGGAGGAUCUCUUGAGUCCAGGAGUUUGAGACCAGCCUGGGCAACAAAGCAAGAACCUGUGUCUAUAAAAAGAUAAAAUUAUUUAACUCAACAUUUUCCUCCCUGCCUUCAUUGUAAUAUAUAUAUAUAUAAAAAAAAGAUUUUCGAAGAGGUUAUAUGGUUUGCCUAAAGUUACCAACUGCUUAGUGACAGGGCCUAGGUUAAAAUGCAGGUCCUCUUUAGACUCAGUCUACUUCAUGUCCUGAAUUAUGUUAGAGGCAGUACUUCCUUACAUAAACCAAUUAUCCAUGUCCCUUUAUGGUCAGAGAUGACCAUCUGGGCAUACCCCCUCACACUGUCAGUACCUGGAAUUUUCUCUUGUGGUUCUUCUCUCUGCUCUAUGUGACAGAAAUCAUAUAUGGCAUCAACUAGCGAAACAGAAAAAGAACCAGGCAGACAAUCCCUAACGAAAAGAAAC
This 2028-nucleotide long non-coding RNA is filed under the name Homo sapiens (human). RNAcentral's name for it is "non-protein coding lnc-LHFPL2-2:1". The record is from RNAcentral. Lineage: Eukaryota; Metazoa; Chordata; Mammalia; Primates; Hominidae.